AUGAUGAACGCUAGCUACAGGCUUAACACAUGCAAGUCGAGGGGCAGCAUGGUCUUAGCUUGCUAAGACUGAUGGCGACCGGCGCACGGGUGAGUAACACGUAUCCAACCUGCCGUCUACUCUUGGACAGCCUUCUGAAAGGAAGAUUAAUACAAGAUGGCAUCAUGAGUCCGCAUGUUCACAUGAUUAAAGGUAUUCCGGUAGACGAUGGGGAUGCGUUCCAUUAGAUAGUAGGCGGGGUAACGGCCCACCUAGUCUUCGAUGGAUAGGGGUUCUGAGAGGAAGGUCCCCCACAUUGGAACUGAGACACGGUCCAAACUCCUACGGGAGGCAGCAGUGAGGAAUAUUGGUCAAUGGGCGAGAGCCUGAACCAGCCAAGUAGCGUGAAGGAUGACUGCCCUAUGGGUUGUAAACUUCUUUUAUAAAGGAAUAAAGUCGGGUAUGCAUACCCGUUUGCAUGUACUUUAUGAAUAAGGAUCGGCUAACUCCGUGCCAGCAGCCGCGGUAAUACGGAGGAUCCGAGCGUUAUCCGGAUUUAUUGGGUUUAAAGGGAGCGUAGAUGGAUGUUUAAGUCAGUUGUGAAAGUUUGCGGCUCAACCGUAAAAUUGCAGUUGAUACUGGAUAUCUUGAGUGCAGUUGAGGCAGGCGGAAUUCGUGGUGUAGCGGUGAAAUGCUUAGAUAUCACGAAGAACUCCGAUUGCGAAGGCAGCCUGCUAAGCUGCAACUGACAUUGAGGCUCGAAAGUGUGGGUAUCAAACAGGAUUAGAUACCCUGGUAGUCCACACGGUAAACGAUGAAUACUCGCUGUUUGCGAUAUACGGCAAGUGGCCAAGCGAAAGCGUUAAGUAUUCCACCUGGGGAGUACGCCGGCAACGGUGAAACUCAAAGGAAUUGACGGGGGCCCGCACAAGCGGAGGAACAUGUGGUUUAAUUCGAUGAUACGCGAGGAACCUUACCCGGGCUUAAAUUGCAGAUGAAUUACGGUGAAAGCCGUAAGCCGCAAGGCAUCUGUGAAGGUGCUGCAUGGUUGUCGUCAGCUCGUGCCGUGAGGUGUCGGCUUAAGUGCCAUAACGAGCGCAACCCUUGUUGUCAGUUACUAACAGGUUCCGCUGAGGACUCUGACAAGACUGCCAUCGUAAGAUGUGAGGAAGGUGGGGAUGACGUCAAAUCAGCACGGCCCUUACGUCCGGGGCUACACACGUGUUACAAUGGGGGGUACAGAGGGCCGCUACCACGCGAGUGGAUGCCAAUCCCCAAAACCUCUCUCAGUUCGGACUGGAGUCUGCAACCCGACUCCACGAAGCUGGAUUCGCUAGUAAUCGCGCAUCAGCCACGGCGCGGUGAAUACGUUCCCGGGCCUUGUACACACCGCCCGUCAAGCCAUGAAAGCCGGGGGUACCUGAAGUACGUAACCGCAAGGAGCGUCCUAGGGUAAAACUGGUAA
This 1444-nucleotide ribosomal RNA is filed under the name uncultured organism. RNAcentral's name for it is "SSU rRNA". It matches the Rfam family "Bacterial small subunit ribosomal RNA". The record is from RNAcentral.